Pelobates cultripes (western spadefoot toad) is the source of this 380-nucleotide non-coding RNA. NCBI's taxonomy places the organism in Eukaryota, Metazoa, Chordata, Amphibia, Anura, Pelobatidae. The record is from the annotation of a GenBank genome assembly.
UACCUGAGACUAUUAAUCUGGUUCCAGCUCCAUGAACAGUAAAUGUUUCAUAUUUGUUAGUUCCAACACAGACCCGGAGUAUCACCAAGCAGUAAUACAAUGUAUUAUUGUCUGUUUCUCGCACAUUCUGUACGUAAAGAUCCGCCUGCCCUCUCAGGUCUGUCCUUCCUUUGUAAGUAGGACUGAUCAGCCUAUGUGAGGGAUCAUACACAUAAUCACCAGUAGGGCUGCCCAAUCUCCAGUAGAUCCCAAUCCAUAGAGGGGCUAUUUCUUCAGAGUAAUUAUAUGAGCAGUUAAUAGUCACUGAGCCUCGUAGUGUGGCCGAAGAGUCCUGUGGUUGUUGAACAGUUAGCUCUGUAUUUGAUAGCGAUUCUGAAAUG